RNAcentral lists this long non-coding RNA (847 nucleotides) under Homo sapiens (human). Its description in RNAcentral is "long intergenic non-protein coding RNA 1801". The record is from RNAcentral. Lineage: Eukaryota; Metazoa; Chordata; Mammalia; Primates; Hominidae.
GCCCCCAGAGGUGGAGCCUACUGAGGCAGGCAGGCCUCCUUGAGCUGUGGUGGGCUCCACCCAGUUCGAGCUUCCUGGCUGCUUUGUUUACCUAAUCAAGCCUGGGCAAUGGCGGGCGCCCCUCCCCCAGCCUCGCUGCCGCCUUGCAGUUUGAUCUCAGACUGCUGUGCUAGCAAUCAGCGAGACUCCGUGGGCGUAGGACCCUCCGAGCCAGUGAGAUGAACCCGGUACCUCAGCUGGAAAUGCAGAAAUCACCCGUCUUCUGCGUCGCUCACGCUGGGAGCUGUAGACUGGAGCUGUAGACAGGAGCUGUUCCUAUUCGGGCAUCUUGGCUCCUCCUUGAAAACAAGCCCUGGAAAAACAAAGAAUGGAACACCCCUCCGCUGACUUCAACCAACUGCCUGCUGAUGCGGCCUGACUCCCAGCCCUUUUUGCAGUUUUGAAGUGACAAACUGACUAGGCUACAAAGUAUUCAACCAUGGGCUGGUUCUGGCUGGUUCACCGAGGCUGUGUACAAAGUGUCUUCAUGUCCUGUGUUUCACCUUUUAACAUACAGAACCUAAUUUUACUGCAUUUUAAUGUUAAUUCUCCACUCGAAGGUGAACAUGGGAUGUAUGUAACACAUAUGUUUGCUUAUCAAGCACACAUAUGACCCCCUUUCAUGAAUAUUCAUAGUUCCCCCUGUGACCUGUUGAAUAUGUCUGUUUAGCCAACCUGUUUGGCAUAAAACUCCUAUCCCACCCUAUCUCCCUCAAAGUACCUGUUUGUGGUCUCAGCUGGAGGUGCCACUUCCCAGCCUGCAGUUUGCAACCCUUCUCAAGAAAUAAAGUCUUCCUUUCCAAGUUUA